AAGUCUGGACUAUAGCCGACGACAUUAUUUCGUCGGCUAAAGUCUUGACUUUAGCCGACGACUUAUACGUGUGUCGUCGGCUAAAGUCACCACAGACGAGCUUUUCCCGACGAAAUCUUAGCCGACGAAAGGUCGUCGGCUAAGAUCUUAGCCGACGAAUUAAGCUGACAGGCCGACGAAAAAUUUUCGUCGGCUAAAGUGCUUGUCCUGGUAGUGUAAAAUAUGUGCUUAAAGUAGUAAUUGAGUAUUUAAAGUGAUUAGAAAAAAGUUGUUACAACUUGAUGACUCAUAUUACAAUUUUGAGGAUCUCAAUUACCACUUUAAGGACAAAUGAGGACUAAUAUUGUAACUAAUUCUUUUUACAACUUUAACGACUAAGAGCAACUUUAGCAGACUCUAUAUUUUAGCUUUUAGCUAUUUCAGAGAGUGUGUUUAGCUUUUUUUGAUAUUUUCGGAGCUCCAGCAGACUAGCCAAAGUUUAGCUAUUAUAACUUUUAGCUAUCUCGCUAGCUAAAUUUAGAGAGCGAGAUGACUCAUAUGAGGCUAGCUAUAAUUUAAUGCAUUCUUUGUAAGAUAUUUUACAUGAUAUAUAAAUAUAUUUAAACUAUUUAAUCUUUAUUUGAAGAAUAAUGUUGAUGUAAUGCUAGUUAAAAUAGAGAGCAUUGAUGCAGCCGCAUUUCUAAAGUGGCUAGCUAAAAUAACAUUUUAGCUAAUUUGACUAAAAUUUAACUAAAAAAUGGCUAGCAUUGCUAAAGAUGCUCUAAUAUUACAACUUUAAUGACUGAUAUUACUACUUUGAUGACUCAUUUUACAACUUGAAAACAAAGUUGAUACAUCACAUAUUAUAGUAUUAUACAAUGUUUUCAGCAAUUAAUGCCACAAAUGUUGUUAAAGUACCCUUUUUCAGUAGUAUACAAGCAUUUUUAUUGUGAAUUCAGCAACUUCAAUAAUUAGUUAAACGUAUCUUAACUUAAUCCCCAAAUUCUUAAUCCUUACCAGCUGACUCUGCAAUCCGAUAUUAUAUAUAUAUAUAUAUGCCCAU
This 1042-nucleotide long non-coding RNA is filed under the name Fragaria vesca (wild strawberry). Its description in RNAcentral is "long non-coding RNA (FVES_LNC004418)". The record is from RNAcentral. Lineage: Eukaryota; Viridiplantae; Streptophyta; Magnoliopsida; Rosales; Rosaceae.